This is a long non-coding RNA of Gallus gallus (chicken), 259 nucleotides long. Lineage: Eukaryota; Metazoa; Chordata; Aves; Galliformes; Phasianidae. The record is from Ensembl.
UGGAAGCCAAUGGGAUGGAAAGAGCAGCUGUGUGGCAACGUAAGAGGAGGAUUGUAGGGUUUUUCAAGCUUACUGACGGCCAUUUCUGCUCAUUCGCUGCCAGUGGUACGUCCAAGACACAAGGAGCUGUAAAGAGCACAGGAAUAAAGAGCAGGAAUGGAUGCCAAGAGGAAGGAAAGUAGGCGGCACAGAAGAUGGGAAACAAAGCAAAAAACGUCUGGGCAACACGGUACUAGAUCUUAAAUGCUGCUCAGUAGGC